AGAGCCGUGGGAGGGGGCCUUGACAGAAGGGAAAGCUAUAGGCACUAUCGUUUCUCUUUAACCGCAAUGCCGGGCUCUUUCACUUCCUCCCAGCACUAGCUGCAGAUAUGAACGCUUUUCACUUCCUCCAAGCUGCACAUCGAGCCAUGUGGGAGGGAGAUUUGAAGACAGGGUCUGAAAAGGGGGGCAUGAACAGCAGAACCAGACUCCACAUCCCAACAGCCUCAGUCAGCAGUCUGACCCCCCGGUCAUUGGUAUUUAAUGUAGUGUAAUACCUGGUGGAGCUCUGGCCGGCUAAUGUCUUUUAGGAUUCCU
Non-coding RNA from Pelobates cultripes (western spadefoot toad), 315 nucleotides. The record is from the annotation of a GenBank genome assembly. Lineage: Eukaryota; Metazoa; Chordata; Amphibia; Anura; Pelobatidae.